Molecule: ribosomal RNA, 483 nt
Filed under: bacterium HLAL9HKANTET
Lineage: Bacteria
Description: bacterial SSU rRNA
Rfam family: Bacterial small subunit ribosomal RNA
Source: RNAcentral
CGUGAGUAACCUGCCCUUGACUUCGGGAUAACUCCGGGAAACCGGGGCUAAUACCGGAUAUGAGCCGUCCUCGCAUGGGGGUGGUUGGAAAGUUUUUCGGUCAGGGAUGGGCUCGCGGCCUAUCAGCUUGUUGGUGGGGUGAUGGCCUACCAAGGCGACGACGGGUAGCCGGCCUGAGAGGGCGACCGGCCACACUGGGACUGAGACACGGCCCAGACUCCUACGGGAGGCAGCAGUGGGGAAUAUUGCACAAUGGGCGAAAGCCUGAUGCAGCGACGCCGCGUGAGGGAUGAAGGCCUUCGGGUUGUAAACCUCUUUCAGCAGGGAAGAAGCGCAAGUGACGGUACCUGCAGAAGAAGCGCCGGCUAACUACGUGCCAGCAGCCGCGGUAAUACGUAGGGCGCAAGCGUUGUCCGGAAUUAUUGGGCGUAAAGAGCUCGUAGGCGGUUUGUCGCGUCUGGUGUGAAAACUCGAGGCUCAACC